Candidatus Woesearchaeota archaeon CG1_02_33_12 is the source of this 73-nucleotide non-coding RNA. Lineage: Archaea; Nanobdellati; Candidatus Woesearchaeota. The record is from Rfam.
GGGCCUAUGGUCUAGCGGUUAUGACAUCACCUUCACAGGGUGAAGAUCCCCGGUUCGAUUCCGGGUGGGCCCA